CCGGUUGAUCCUGCCGGACCUGACUGCUAUCGGAUUGAUACUAAGCCAUGCGAGUCUUUGCAGUAAUGCAAGGCAUACGGCUCAGUAACACGUAGUCAACUUACCCUAUGGACGAGGAUAAUCUCGGGAAACUGAGCAUAAUACUCGAUAGAUCAUAAUGCCUGGAAUGGUUUAUGGUUAAAAUGAUUCGUCGCCAUAGGAUGGGACUGCGGCCUAUCAGCUUGUUGGUGAGGUAAUGGCCCACCAAGGCGAUUACAGGUACGGGCUCUGAGAGGAGAAGCCCGGAGAUGGGUACUGAGACAAGGACCCAGGCCCUAUGGGGCGCAGCAGGCGAGAAAACUUUGCAAUGUGCGAAAGCACGACAAGGUUAAUCCGAGUGAUUUCUGCUAAAGAAAUCUUUUGCAAGUCAUAAAACCACUAGUGAAUAAGGGGUGGGCAAGUUCUGGUGUCAGCCGCCGCGGUAAAACCAGCACCUCAAGUGGUCAGGAGGAUUAUUGGGCCUAAAGCAUCCGUAGCCGGCUCUGUAAGUUUUCGGUUAAAUCCAUGUGCUCAACACAUGGGCUGCCGAAAAUACUGCAUAGCUAGGGAGUGGGAGAGGUAGACGGUACUCGGUAGGAAGGGGUAAAAUCCUUUGAUCUAUCGAUGACCACCUGUGGCGAAGGCGGUCUACCAGAACACGUUCGACGGUGAGGGAUGAAAGCUGGGGGAGCAAACCGGAUUAGAUACCCGGGUAGUCCCAGCUGUAAACGAUGCAGACUCGAUGAUGCAUUGGCAUAUAGCCAGUGCAGUGUCGCAGGGAAGCCGUUAAGUCUGCCGCCUGGGAAGUACGUACGCAAGUAUGAAACUUAAAGGAAUUGGCGGGGGAGCACCACAAGGGGUGAAGCCUGCGGUUCAAUUGGAUUCAACGCAAG
This 911-nucleotide ribosomal RNA is filed under the name uncultured marine archaeon. RNAcentral describes it as "bacterial SSU rRNA". It matches the Rfam family "Archaeal small subunit ribosomal RNA", at positions 4 to 921 of the family's 1478-position model. The record is from RNAcentral.